RNAcentral lists this transfer RNA (75 nucleotides) under Actinoplanes sp. NBRC 101535. Its description in RNAcentral is "tRNA-Gly". The record is from RNAcentral. Lineage: Bacteria; Bacillati; Actinomycetota; Actinomycetes; Micromonosporales; Micromonosporaceae.
GGCUACCUGCACGAGAAGGGCGGGGUGGUCGCCGCCGACGGCCACUGCCGGCCGUUCGACGCGGCCGGUGACGGC